Molecule: ribosomal RNA, 516 nt
Filed under: uncultured bacterium
Lineage: Bacteria
Description: partial 16S ribosomal RNA
Rfam family: Bacterial small subunit ribosomal RNA
Source: RNAcentral
GAUGAACGCUGGCGGCGUGCCUAAUACAUGCAAGUCGAACGCAUUGAGAGAAGUGCUUGCACUUUUCAAUUUGAGUGGCGAACGGGUGAGUAACACGUGGGCAACCUACCUGAUAGCGGGGGAUAACGAGUGGAAACAUUCGCUAAUACCGCAUAACAAUAGAGAAGGCAUCUUCUUUAUUUAAAAGGCGCUUUCAAGCGUCACUAUCAGAUGGGCCCGCGGAGCAUUAGUUAGUUGGUGGGGUGAAGGCCUACCAAGACGAUGAUGCAUAGCCGAGUUGAGAGACUGAUCGGCCACAUUGGGACUGAGACACGGCCCAAACUCCUACGGGAGGCUGCAGUAGGGAAUCUUCCACAAUGGACGAAAGUCUGAUGGAGCAACGCCGCGUGUGUGAUGAAGGCUUUCGGGUCGUAAAGCACUGUUGUAUGGGAAGAAGUGCUAGGCUAGGAAAUGAGCUUAGUUUGACGGUACCAUACCAGAAAGGGACGGCUAAAUACGUGCCAGCAGCCGCAGUAA